Molecule: long non-coding RNA, 1102 nt
Organism: Myotis myotis
Lineage: Eukaryota; Metazoa; Chordata; Mammalia; Chiroptera; Vespertilionidae
Exons: 3
Source: RefSeq, a predicted model, not a curated record
UGCUGGGGAGGAGCGCAAGGCUGCCUCCUUGGCCCCGGGUAGAGGUGGUUCUCUUCCACCAGGCCCUCCACUGGAUACCGCUUUCCUCUCAAGCUUCUUGAUAUUGGCUUAACCCCACUCCACUCUUCGAAAGGCUUUCUUUCUGUUCCUGCCUGGCGUGGGUCUCCCCACUGCCUAGGGCCCCUUUCUUUCCUGCAGGGUUGAGGGAGGCCCCCUUCAAGCCUUUCACCUGCUCUGUGAGCAGGGAGCACCCACUGUGCUUGCUGCAUGCACUGCUUGCUUAGCAGGGAAGCUAAAGAUGGUUCAUUCUGCAACAAUUCUCUCUCAGCUUUCAGACUCCCUGGGUGGAGAGUCCUUUCGGGCGCUCCCUGAAAAAACAUGCUUGCUCACCAGUUGGUUCCCAAGACAGCCCAUUUAUAGUUCCCUUAAGAAAACAGCUCUUGGAUUAGCUUAAUCAGUGCAACUCAGCCGCCUCUCACUGUUAAUAAUAAUUAACUCAAGCAAGUUCUCCAUUUUAAAUGUUUAAGAAGCAGCAAAAUCAAAUCACACGGGGACAGCAUACACACAGGCCUUCAAGCUUCAUCUCUACAGCUACAGAAUUGUGGAUACCGAAGGAACCUUGAAGACAAUCUCAUCAGUCUAAUUUUUCUAUCUGUAGCAGCCAUGGUUCCAGCCAACUGGAUGAAUCAAAUCUCAUCAAAGUCCGUUCUGGCAGCUGCAGUCCCGCUGGGCCAAUGAUUGGCCUGGAGGUGGGCACUGUGACCCAGCUUUGGCCAAUGAGAUAUAAGAGGGAGUAGGCUGCAGAUGGUUCUGCCCCUUCUUCCGACUUUGAACAUGGUUAUGUAUAAAUAUUACGAUUGGAGCUGUCUUUUUUCCGACUUGCAUCCACAAGGAAACAGGCUGGGGACAAAAAGCAGGUUUCCCAGGUUUGCAAGAGUGGAAACAUAGAAAGAGCCUGGGUCCUUGAUACUGUGAAUACGAGAAUGCAAAACACCUGGAUCUGCCCGCCUCGUGGCUAAUGAUGGAGACAAUCAAACGUCUUUAUUGUUUAAACCACUGUUGAUGGAGGGGUUUUAUUUCUUGCAGCUGAAAGCAUUUCUAA